GGGCAGGUGGCGGAAUUGGUAUACGCGUACGUUUGAGGGGCGUAUGGGGUAACCCGUGCGGGUUCAAGUCCCGCCCUGCCCA
RNAcentral lists this transfer RNA (82 nucleotides) under bacterium. Its description in RNAcentral is "tRNA-Leu". It matches the Rfam family "tRNA". From Rfam's summary of the family: Transfer RNA (tRNA) molecules are approximately 80 nucleotides in length. Their secondary structure includes four short double-helical elements and three loops (D, anti-codon, and T loops). The record is from RNAcentral. RNAcentral also lists the same sequence under 1 other name.